AAAUUAUUUUUCUAAUUUUGUGUUAAAUUGCCUUAUUAUUUUUAGUUAGAAAACUAAUAACCUUUUAUGGAGCAAAAAUAAACGUUGUAAUGUAGAAAUUGGCCUCUAAAUAAAAGUCUGCAGAGUUGACCGAUAUGUUGAUGAUUUAUGGGGAAACUCGAAAAAAUGAAUGGCAGCUCGUUUAUACCAACAAAGAUUUCGCAAUCGUCGAAUUCCACAUCAUUGUACUCGUAUAUUUGUAUUUUAAGAAGGCUGAAAGUAACCGGAAACUUGUUAAUUGAAAGAAAUAAUGCUGGAAAGCAACGUACAACAAGGACUGUGCAUCUGGAAGAGAAAAUAUUAAAUAAUAUUAUUGAAAGGCCAUCUUUAAGUACUCGAACUGUCGGUCACGCUUUAAGAGUGGACCAUUCUACUGUUUUGAAAGAACAAGUGUUACACCCAUACAAAUUGGCCACUGUUCAAGCAUUAGAACCUAGAGAUUUUCAGGUGCGUAUGGAAUUUUCAAACUGGUAUUUACAAAAGUGUCGGGAAAAUCGAAAUUUUCCUAAAUAUGUGUUGUAUAACGACAAGGAUAGAUUUACUAGGGAAGGAAUUUUCAACUGUAGAAAUAGUCACGUUUGGGAUGAAGAAAAUCCGCACUUUGUUUGUGAAAAGGGACAUGACUGGAGAUUGCUUAAUCGAGCCUUACAUUUUACCAAAUAAAUUAAAUGGAGCAAUUUAUAUGCGCUUUCUGGAAGAAAUGUUGGAUGAUUUGUUGGAGAAUGUAUCGUUAAAUAUUAGACAACACAUAUGGUUUCAACACGAUGAGGCAACUGUUCUUUUUGCUGCAGCGGCAAGAAAUUAUUUAAAUAGAUAUCUCAGAGAAAAAUGGAUUGGUCGAGGUGGACCCAAUUGUUGGCCUCUAAGAUUACCUGACUUAAAUCCUGUCGAUUUUUUAUAUGAGGCUAUAUAAAGUCCUUAGUGUACGAAACAAUCAUCGAGUAUGAUAGCUAGAAUUCAAGCUGCGGCAGAAAUCAUCAAUUCAAUCCAUAUUCAUUCUCAAAGACACGUUUUUCAAGAACAAAACGGGGUAAUAAGUGUAUUGAAGUGUAUUUGAUUAUGAAUAAUUUUUAUUUGUUUUCAACUACUUACGAUUAAUCAUAUUUCGAAAUUAAACGAAUAAUUUAUCAA
This is a long non-coding RNA of Diorhabda carinulata, 1170 nucleotides long. RefSeq lists it as uncharacterized. The transcript has 2 exons. Lineage: Eukaryota; Metazoa; Arthropoda; Insecta; Coleoptera; Chrysomelidae. The record is from RefSeq and is a predicted model, not a curated record.